This 797-nucleotide ribosomal RNA is filed under the name uncultured Pelagibacteraceae bacterium. RNAcentral describes it as "bacterial SSU rRNA". It matches the Rfam family "Bacterial small subunit ribosomal RNA", at positions 44 to 889 of the family's 1533-position model. Lineage: Bacteria; Pseudomonadati; Pseudomonadota; Alphaproteobacteria; Candidatus Pelagibacterales; Candidatus Pelagibacteraceae. The record is from RNAcentral.
ACGCCUAACACAUGCAAGUCGAACGAAGUAGCAAUACUUAGUGGCAGACGGGUGAGUAACAUGUGGGUAUCUUCCCUAUGGCCUGGAAUAACACGAGGAAACUUGUGCUAAUACUGGAUAAGUCUUUACGGAGAAAGCUUUAUGCACCAUUGGAUGAGCCCGCACUUGAUUAGUUUGUUGGUAGGGUAAUGGCCUACCAAGACUUUGAUCAAUAGCUGAUUUGAGAGGAUGAUCAGCCACAUUGGGACUGAGACACGGCCCAAACUCCUACGGGAGGCAGCAGUGGGGAAUCUUGCACAAUGGAGGAAACUCUGAUGCAGCGAUGCCGCGUGAGUGAAGAAGGCCUUUGGGUUGUAAAGCUCUUUCGUCGGGGAAGAAAAUGACUGUACCCGAAUAAGAAGGUCCGGCUAACUUCGUGCCAGCAGCCGCGGUAAUACGAAGGGACCUAGCGUAGUUCGGAAUUACUGGGCUUAAAGAGUUCGUAGGUGGUUGAAAAAGUUGGUGGUGAAAUCCCAGAGCUUAACUCUGGAACUGCCAUCAAAACUUUUCAGCUAGAGUAUGAUAGAGGAAAGCAGAAUUUCUAGUGUAGAGGUGAAAUUCGUAGAUAUUAGAAAGAAUACCAAUUGCGAAGGCAGCUUUCUGGAUCAUUACUGACACUGAGGAACGAAAGCAUGGGUAGCGAAGAGGAUUAGAUACCCUCGUAGUCCAUGCCGUAAACGAUGUGUGUUAGACGUUGGAAAUUUAUUUUCAGUGUCGCAGCGAAAGCAAUAAACACACCGCCUGGGGAGUACGACCGC